GUCUGGUUAGCUCAGUGGUAGAGCAAAAGACUGAAAAUCUUUGGGUCAGAGAUUCAAAUUCUCUAUCAGACA
Molecule: transfer RNA, 72 nt
Filed under: Hemiselmis andersenii
Lineage: Eukaryota; Cryptophyceae; Cryptomonadales; Hemiselmidaceae
Description: tRNA-Phe
Rfam family: tRNA
About the family: Transfer RNA (tRNA) molecules are approximately 80 nucleotides in length. Their secondary structure includes four short double-helical elements and three loops (D, anti-codon, and T loops).
Source: RNAcentral